UACGGAGGAUCCAAGCGUUAUCCGGAUUCAUUGGGUUUAAAGGGUGCGUAGGCGGAAUGGUAAGUCAGUGGUGAAAGCCCUUCGCUUAACGAAGGAACUGCCUCUGAUUCUGCCAAUCUUGAGUACAUUUGAUGUGGGCGGAAUGUGUCAUGUAGCGGUGAAAUGCUUAGAUAUGACACAGAACACCGAUUGCGAAGGCAGCUCACAAAACUGUAACUGACGCUGAGGCACGAAAGCGUGGGGAUCAAACAGG
Molecule: ribosomal RNA, 253 nt
Filed under: uncultured bacterium
Lineage: Bacteria
Description: partial 16S ribosomal RNA
Rfam family: Bacterial small subunit ribosomal RNA
Source: RNAcentral